This 283-nucleotide ribosomal RNA is filed under the name uncultured bacterium. RNAcentral's name for it is "partial 16S ribosomal RNA". It matches the Rfam family "Bacterial small subunit ribosomal RNA", at positions 216 to 490 of the family's 1533-position model. The record is from RNAcentral.
CGAUUAUGGAUGGACCCGCGUCUGAUUAGCUAGUUGGUGGGGUAAAGGCCUACCAAGGCGACGAUCAGUAGCCGGCCUGAGAGGGUGAACGGCCACACUGGGACUGAGACACGGCCCAGACUCCUACGGGAGGCAGCAGUGGGGAAUCUUCCGCAAUGGACGAAAGUCUGACGAAGCAACGCCGCGUGUAUGAUGAAGGUCUUCGGAUUGUAAAGUACUGUCUUUGGGGAAGAAUGACUGAUUUGAAAAUAUUGAGUCAGUAUGACGGUACCCAAGGAGGAAG